RNAcentral lists this long non-coding RNA (683 nucleotides) under Capra hircus (goat). RNAcentral describes it as "lncRNA (ENSCHIG00000005947.1)". The record is from RNAcentral. Lineage: Eukaryota; Metazoa; Chordata; Mammalia; Artiodactyla; Bovidae.
GCCACAUUCCAACCGUUCCAGCCACUGUCCCUGGUUACAGAAAGAAAAGCAACUUUAAAGGCAUUCCAGAGGGAAGAAUUUCAUUCAUUCAACUGAUACCUCCAGACCCUCUUAGGACCAGAUGCUGAGCUGGGCACAGGGUUCUCCGGGGAAGAAUUCAUCACAACAAACACAGCCCAGCCUGCAAGAUCUGACCAUCGGUUUGCUCCAAGCAGAGCACAUCUUCUGAGAUAGGAGAACUUGAGGAGAUGGACCUGAUUUUCACUCCAGUCAGGCCUUCAGCUUUCAGAGAGUUGGUCCUCAUCAUCCAUGGCUGAUUAUGCUUAUGGUCCCUACUGAUCAGGGAAGACUGAAGGCUCACCUGCUGUUGCAAACCCUGCCUCACCUGCCCCAGCACUCUGCCUUCUCUGGUCUGAGGGGAAGGUGUUGUUUCUACGUCAUGUGCGCACAGAGUCAAAGAGAAGAGGGAGCGUUCUGAUGUGAUAGCCUCCGGUGUGGAGCCUUCUGUCCCCAAGCAAUUACUGCUGAGCCCCUGAGACAGGAGGGGCAGCACCCCCGGAGGGAAGGGGCAGCUCGGCUCCUGUGUCUGGGCUGCUAGAGAAAAAUGGUGGUAAGACUUGCAAGCUAGCUUGCGCUGUGGUUUGUUUUUCCCUGGAGUAUCUAAAAUAAAACUUUUCGCUGCU